Molecule: ribosomal RNA, 258 nt
Filed under: uncultured Glomus
Lineage: Eukaryota; Fungi; Glomeromycota; Glomeromycetes; Glomerales; Glomeraceae
Description: partial 18S ribosomal RNA
Rfam family: Eukaryotic small subunit ribosomal RNA
Source: RNAcentral
AAGCUCGUAGUUGAAUUUCGGGGUUAGUAGGUUGGUCAUGCCUCCGGUAUGUACUGGUCUCACUGAUUCCUCCUUCCUGAUGAACCGUAAUGCCAUUAAUUUGGUGUUGCGGGGAAUUUGGACUGUUACUUUGAAAAAAUUAGAGUGUUUAAAGCAAGCUAACGCUUGAGUACAUUAGCAUGGAAUAAUGAAAUAGGACGUUCGAUCCUAUUUUGUUGGUUUCUAGGAUUGACGUAAUGAUUAAUAGGGAUAGUUGGG